This 428-nucleotide ribosomal RNA is filed under the name uncultured bacterium. RNAcentral describes it as "bacterial SSU rRNA". It matches the Rfam family "Bacterial small subunit ribosomal RNA", at positions 30 to 457 of the family's 1533-position model. The record is from RNAcentral.
AUUGAACGCUGGCGGCAUGCUUUACACAUGCAAGUCGAACGGCAGCACGAGUGCUUGCACUUGGUGGCGAGUGGCGGACGGGUGAGUAAUACAUCGGAACGUAUCCUUAAGUGGGGGAUAACGCAUCGAAAGAUGUGCUAAUACCGCAUAUUCUCUGUGGAGGAAAGUAGGGGAUCGAAAGACCUUAUGCUUAUGGAGCGGCCGAUGCCUGAUUAGCUUGUUGGUGGGGUAAUGGCCUACCAAGGCGACGAUCAGUAGUUGGUCUGAGAGGACGACCAGCCACACUGGGACUGAGACACGGCCCAGACUCCUACGGGAGGCAGCAGUGGGGAAUUUUGGACAAUGGGCGAAAGCCUGAUCCAGCAAUGCCGCGUGAGUGAAGAAGGCCUCGGUUGUAAGACGUCUUUAGUUAAGUAAGAAAGGUUAGU